Danio rerio (zebrafish) is the source of this 2025-nucleotide non-coding RNA. The record is from RefSeq and is a predicted model, not a curated record. Lineage: Eukaryota; Metazoa; Chordata; Actinopteri; Cypriniformes; Danionidae.
GGAAGGUGGCUCUCCAGGAACAGGAUUGAGCACCCCUGCUUCAAAACAAAUAACGAAAUACAUCAUUAUUCUCUAGUCAGGCAAACUGGACGCAUAUUUCUCCACACGUUUUACAAGUAAACUAAUAUUAUUUAGUAUGCCUAUUAUUUUCACUCAUUAUGCACCUCAGUACUGAAAUCUGCCCUCAAAACUACUUCAGUUCAUUCUAAAAGUGCUGAAAACAUUUCUCAGCGGUUGUGGUGUUGUGUCAAGUUGAAUUGACCCUUUACCCUUAGUUUUGUGUUCCCUUUGUGGGCGCAACGCAGUUUCGCUGUUUUCGAUAAUAAUCAUCAUUUUCGAGCUUGGCCCCGUGAUCUGUACGCUAGCAGGAACCCAAAACUGAGGCGAAACAGGGAAACAGAAUUCCAUAUUAUAUUGACAGUAGGCCUGUCACUCAGUUGUGGUUUGUCAUCCUAUAUAUCCAUUGUGUAAACUUCUAUUGGAUUGAAAGCUGGCGAGUCGACUGUGAAGGCUGUCGAGUUAAUGAACUCCUUGUCACGUUGACGAACUAGCUUGAGUAAUUAAGCUUUGUGAGAUGAGUGUGAAGUUCAUGAAUUCUAGUGGUAUUUUGAGCUACUAUUGUCUCACUGGAUGUUUUCUUUAGAGAUGAAAACAGUACGAGUCAUCCCACGUUCAAAGUCAUUAAAGGAGAGAUACCAUUGGAGAAAAGGGGAUGUACACCCUAAAAAUUAACAUUAAUUCACCCUGAUCUUGUUCCAAACUUCACUGAGUUUCUUUAUAUUCAUUCUUUCAGGCUUAGUCCCUUUAUUAAUCAUGGGUCACCACAGCGGAAUGAACCGCCAACUUAUCCAGCAUAUGUAAAGAAAGCUAAAACCCGGUAACCAGUUGACUCAAUAUAGGAAAAACAAAUAGUGAAAUUAAUGCUUUUCUUACUUAGUUUUUUUCGUAUUGUUUAUAGUUUAAAUAUCUUAAUAUUGUUAAGAUCAAGAUCAAAAUCAAGAAUAAUUUUCUACACAAGCAAACAUUGUUCUGUUUUAAGAAACAGACUAUAUCAAAAUGAGUUUUUCCUUAUAACCAGCAAAAUAAUCUGCCAAUGGUAAAUAAUCUAAUCUUCCAGAAUUCUUCUUUUUUUUGUUUAACAGAAGUUGAGUAAUUGCUUACACAUACACACACACACACACACACACAACACAACACAACACAACACAAAGUUCGACAUGCUUCUUAAAGACACAUCCGCUUGCUGACUGCAAAUAAAAGCAUCAUUAUGUCGCAUAAGGACUGGAAAAUCUCACACUGUUAUGAAGGGCGAAGCAGGACGGGAGAAUGAAGAGCAGUGUAAUUGCAGAAUGACUGCAAGGGCAAAUUAUAAAGCAAGGACCGUUGAAUAUAGACAGGCACAGGAUGAAGUCAUACCCAGGAGCUACUUAUCAUUUUUCCUGAAAUAAACAGAUGGUUUAUUUUGCAGCAUGUCCUAGAAUUACCCUGAGCAGGAUUUAUUCUGAGCACAGUUGCUGCCUGACCUGAACAGUCCUCCGUCAGAGAUCUGAAAGCUUCAGCUGACUGAGAUUACUGUAAACAUAACAUGCAUAAAGAGUAGUAGCCUAUAAAAUAUUUAAUUCAGGUUCGUAUUGGUUUGGACAAACACAGAAUAAUUUUAAAUACAAAAAUAGCAUGCAACAACUGCAGGAAAAGGAAAGCAAUUAUGAGAAAAUGUUGCAGGAGAAAAGACAGAAUUCUGAGGAAAGGUCGGGUUUGUGAGAUCUCAGAAUUGACAGUGUGGGUCAAUAUUCAGAAUUUACAUGAUUCAGAUUUUUAUUUUUUGUUUUUUAAAACUUUAAGUUAAAAACCUGCAAAAAAUAAACCAGAAAUGUGUAUAUGAAAUCACUUGAUUAAACUAUUUUUCUUUAGUGCACUAUUCAAACUUAUCAGAAAUGCAAGAUGUAAACACAGAAUGAAAAUACUUUUGUCAUCUAAUAAUUGAGAGAAAUAGUUAAAUUGCAAUAAAAAAUUUAAUACACAUAA